Molecule: small nucleolar RNA, 121 nt
Organism: Heterocephalus glaber (naked mole-rat)
Lineage: Eukaryota; Metazoa; Chordata; Mammalia; Rodentia; Bathyergidae
Gene: SNORD22
Rfam family: Small nucleolar RNA SNORD22
About the family: U22 is a member of the C/D class of snoRNA which contain the C (UGAUGA) and D (CUGA) box motifs. U22 is encoded within the U22 snoRNA host gene (UHG) in mammals and has also been identified in Xenopus. U22 is thought to as a 2'-O-ribose methylation guide for ribosomal RNA.
Source: Ensembl
AUCAAUUGAUACGAGUUCGAGACGGGCCUGAGAUACCCCCACAUUCUGUAAAGGUGAACCCACUGGGGCUGGCCAGGGAAGAAGAGGAAAUUUUGUUCCAGAAGGAACUGUCUGGAGGAUC